CACAGCCAUACUUUAACAAGAAUAAAUGCUUGAAUACCUUUGGAGACUUCAACUGCAGCAUUGAAAGCUGCAACUCCAGUGCAGAUGGACAGAAAGGACACACCGCUGCCAUCCAUCAGAAGGAACAUGCAGAGACUGGCCCCAGGAGGACUGUGUGUCCCCAAGGAGGUCUGCUCUGGAUACUCACACGGGACUUCCAGAUGGCACCUUCUCCUAGGUACGACACCUCUUUCCAUUGGCAAUCUCUACCUCCUUCCCUCCCACACCCAGUGCACUUCUUCCAUGCUUGGACUUUAUGUUUGUUUAAAAACAAUAGCUAUUGGUUUUGAUUUCAUUUGGUGCACUGGGUGCUGCUGAUUUGUUAGUAAAAUCUGCUUCAAGAGGUCAACAGGAGACAUCUCAUUGGUCCACAUGAAGUCAAUGUGGUGAUAAAGCCCCUAUCAUUUGCUCAGUUCUGUUUUCAGGAACAUUGGAUUGCAUGCUGGUCCACGCUCUGCUAGACUGGGGGUGAGGCAGCUAUGACCACAGUGCACUCCAUAGUGAGUGCACCUUAUGCCUCUGAUGGAGGCCAUGCAUAGCUCUGAGGCCAGGCUCUACCCUUCCUUGGUGGAGUCAAGGGAAGGACAUGCUAAGUGUGGGAGGCAGUGUUUACUACAGUCCCCCAAAGAACACCUGCAGUGGAAAUGAGAGAUGGAGAACGACAUGAAAUGUACUUGGCCUCACACCUUAAAUCACAGUCCCAGCGACAUUAUGAUCUCAGACUCUGAUUGUAAGACUCAUGGAGGAUUCCAUAGGCCCCACACCCCCACUGUUACAACCAGAGCUGCUCCCAGCAAAGCACGUUCCAUCACUGCAUCUGACAGCCAGCACUUCCCACAAGGCACCCUCCAUCGCCCAUAAUCCUGACAUUGCUUUAAGUUUUCUCAGACCACCGUGACCAAAAUGGUAUGGCUAAACCAUUUAAAACAGUAUCUACUAAAUAAUUAUGAUGCACCAACAAUGUUUUCUAUAUAAGCUCAUUUAAUCAUCACAAUAACCUCAUAAAUAAAGUAGUGUUGUUCACUACAUUCUGCUUCUCUAAGCGAUGAUCAUGGGGUUUGGGUUACUGUCUUAAUCACUUUUCUCAUCCCUGGGAUGGAACACUCGAUACAUGAAACUAAAACGAGGACAGGUUUCUUUUGGCUCACGGCUCAGUCCAUAGUGGGCUGGCUCCCAGGCACAGCAGAGGGGCCUGGGAGAAGACGACAUCUCACAUCAUGGCCGCAGGAAGCAGAACAUGAAGGGAAGGGCCCAGAAGGGAGAUAAACCCACCUUUCGGUUCAAAGUCAGCAGCUGUAAAUACUGGUACCGUAUUUAAAGCCCAAAAGUACAGCGCAUGAUCUCAGGCUCAUGUGCCC
This 1397-nucleotide long non-coding RNA is filed under the name Chinchilla lanigera (long-tailed chinchilla). RNAcentral's name for it is "lncRNA (ENSCLAG00000026289.1)". Lineage: Eukaryota; Metazoa; Chordata; Mammalia; Rodentia; Chinchillidae. The record is from RNAcentral.